GAGUGACAUGUGGAACUGAUUCUCUUUCCUGCUCUUCUCUGCAACAUAGGAGUGAGCAGCCUCCCUUGUUGGAGGUAGAUGUACCAGAUGGACACGUGCCUGUAAUCUUGCCUGGAAGGAAGGAGGUGUGAAGGUGCCUUGGGACCUCUCUUAAUCUGGGAGGACCGGGAAGCAGGCUUGGCUUGUUAAGCUUGGAGAAGAGAAGGCUCCAGGGAGAUCUUAUUGUGGCUUGAAGAGAGCACAUAAACAGGUUGUUCUCAAGAGAAGAAAGAGGAAGGAGGAUGAGAUGUAGCCGUGGUUGGAAGAGAGCAAGGGAGAGAGGAUUGAACAUCCAGAGCAAGUUCAUUGGACAUACCAGAAGAAGAAGAGCAGAGGAGCUGCACUGGGACCUCCAGGCUCUCAUCCUCACAUUCAAAACUUCUGUCUAAACAAGGCUUGGUGGCUUUUCCAUGUUCCUGCUAACAGGAUGAGCACUUAGAUCCACAGUGUUGUAUAAUUACUGGUGUACUUUUCCGCUAUCUUCACUGUUUGUAUUCUCACUAUACUAUGAUUGCUGUAGCUUUUGGGUGUAGAAAAAUACACCUUUAUGCUAGACAUUUAAAAAAACAAUGGCCCAUAGAGCUUAGAUCCCAUGGAGAUACCUAUUUCCUCACAAGGAUGGGCAAGCAGAGGAAGAUCUUGCUCACGGGAAGUGUGCAGUCUCCAUAUUUGUAGGCUUUCAGACUAGACUGAAAAUGCCAUGAGCAGCCUGGCCGGGUAGCAUAGCUGCCCUUCUUGAGCAAGUGGUAAGACUAGAGGCCUCCUGGGUUCCUUACAGACUGAAUUGUCCUAUGAACUUGAUCUGCUUUUUCCAGUUUUUGUGUUAAAAACAGACUGCUCCCUCUAAUCUGUGGGCAGAUACCAGCUAAGUUGUUGAUGGCAUUUUCUCUUGUUCUGGAACUUCUGAAGGAUGCUGUUAUUGUGGGGAUGUAGACAGUCUGGUUUUCUUCUCACCUGCAUUUUAGUGACCAGGGCAAGUCAGGUGUAAUUGUUCCUAUUUGUUUUUAGUAUUGUUUGUUAGUAGCCUAGCACUUUUUCCUUAAGGUCAGUUAAGUCAGUUCUCACUGAUCAAUCACACUUCCAAUGGUGGUUGAAUACAGCAAUGCAUGUUUUGUUUUGUGUUUUUCCUCUGCUGAUAAGUAUGUUUUUGCAUAGCCUUUUCUGUUUUUCUUAAUGCCCUGGCUUUCCUUCCUCAGAGAUGUGUACUUUCUCCUCACCCUUCCUCCUUCUUCCCUUCCCUUCUCUGAAUACCUUCAGUGCCAGGAUGACAGCUCUAAGGCUGCUGUCAUUCCCCUGGGUGUUUCAAACCAAGUACUUUAAUCAGAGUAUGAUGCCAUUGUGUGAGCAAAAAUUAUAUUGAUGGUGUUUGCGAAUAUACUAUUUUUUAAAUGAAAAUGUUAAAAAUAAAUCUUUUAGGGGAAUUUUACAUAUUAAUACUCAGUGGUUUGAAUGUGUGGUAAUACUUUUUGCAUUUAGAAUGCUUAAUUGUGAAAGAUUAUGUGGAUAAAGAUCUAUAAUUAACUGAUAAACAUUAGAACAUUAACUGAUAAAGAUUUAUAAGACUGCUGAGGAAAAUUAUAAGAGUUUUCCCUCUCCAGUGCACUCUUUUAAGGAGUGAUAAAGGAGGAAACAUAGGAAUAUGGCCUUCAGUAUGGCUUAAAUAUAGCUUGCUUUAUUGCACCAUUGCUGAAUUAAGGAAAUUGAAGUUGACACACAUUUAUUUAUUUAUUUGUUUGUUUGUUUGUUUGUUUGAGAAAGGCAGAUAGAGAGAAGUUGAUUUCAGUCUAACUGUAAUGCUCUGUUUUCUAGGAGACUAUUUUGGGCUAAGAACUGCAGUAAUAAAGAAUCAAAGCGGAUGGUAUUCCUUCUGUAUUUUUCAUCCAGAACUGAAUAGAAACUAUACCUUGCAUAAUAAAAUAUCAGAUAUGUGACAAGAACAACACUGAUUUUACAGAGUGGGUAAAUGAAUUUUCCUACCUUUCUACAUUUUUCAAAAGCAGAACUAGAAGUAGAUCCAAAUCCAUCUACUGUUGGGAAUGCAGAAGAAAUACCUCCCUUGACUUUGCCUCUGGGACUGGUCUAUUGAUUUCAGAACUUCACUUCUGCUCAUCUCAGCCUGGGCCCACCACACCUUGCUGCCAGUCUGCUGGAGAGACUACAGCCUUGUUUGUUGCUAUGUUUGCCCUCCGUGGCACGCUGAAAUUUCCCUAUUAUUGUGCCAAUGUCAAAUCCAGCCUGCUUCUUAAAUCCAUCUUGUAUGCAACUAGUUUCCACAACUGAUGUUUUCCUUUUCUGAGCUUUUAUUCAAUGCUUCACACUAUGGCUAAAUCAGGUGCCUUGAUGUAAUGCUCCCGCAGAACAGUACUAAGACUUAAUGAUCAGCACAGUCCUAAUGAUGUUGCUCCUUUUGCCUCUUUGCCCUGUUUAUGUGCAACAUAGAACCUAUUUAUGAUCAUUUCUGCCAGCUGAAAGAUAUAGUGAUUAUUAGUAAUGUAUAGGAUGUUUACUAGGUUUUUCUUAACAGCUGUGUCUUUUGCUAUGAUGGGGUGCUUUUGAGUCAAGACUUUUGCAUUCAUUUAGGUGAGUUCGUUGUCUUUCAUUUGCUAUAUCUCAAAAAUAAAUUUGCACCUCAGUACUUCCAAAUACAGACCUGUCAGCCUUGAAUCAACUACACUGCAUUUGGAAGGUCAGUGCAAACCCCAGAGGCUUGAGCAUUUUCUCAGGAGAGAGGGCCCCGCAACACUGCUUCUGUGGUUUGUGGGAAUUGGGUCUCUGUUGUUAGCAAAGAGCCAGUGUGCUUUUCAGCAUGCCAGGAGGUAUUGUUGACAGUUCUUUAUUCUCCCAGUAGGUGAGAUCAAGCACCAGGUAGGUACAGCUCUCAAUGGGCCAACAGCUAUCAUCAUCCUCACUAGUUCCCUACUCAGGAGAUCAGGCUGUCUGCCUGCAUUGCAGCAGGGCCACGAGUUGGUGGAUAUCAGACCUCCUCAAAAGCAUCUCUGGUGACUUCACUUCUGUGAUGCUGGUCUUUCUGAUCGUCUGCAAGGAUAGGAGCCUUUCCUACACAAACAGAAUGAAUAGAGGUAAGAUUAUCCUGUGACUGUAUCAGAACUAGUCAUUACUGGAGUCCCAGUGUACAUGAACAUACAAUUUGGAUACUUGUACCCCAGAAUUUUGGCUCUCUUUAUGUGAAGAACUCAAUCUCCUUUCAGUUGUUUCCUCUCCCUCCUUCCCCCCCCAAUAUAAUAAAAAACUUCCUUGACAUGAAACAUUGUGGCAUGAAAGAUUUCAUCUGAUUUCACCUAGAAACAAUUUUUAAAAAAUUUUUAGUAACUGGAUGAUGAUCUUUCUUCGGAAAUCAUGUCCAAGGCUGACAGCUUUGUUGUCUUUGAUCUCCCUACCAAUGCUUUGACACUGAGACCUAUUUGAGGACGCUCAACUUUAGCUUCCCCUGACUCCACAGGCUCAAGUCACUUCAGCUGGAGAAAUGGCUUUAGGAGAUGUUGGUUCAAAAAAGAGAAAAGAUCAGUCAUACUGCUCUGCUAAUUACAUUGGCCAUAUUAAUGGCACAGACUGCUCAUUUUCAGGCACUGUUGGAAAGAUUACCCAGAGAGACGUUAUUCUCUCGGUACAGUGUCAGAUGUCACCCUGUAGGAUAUUAAAACCAAGUCAAGAUUGUGUUGAAAAAUAUUGUUUUUGUCUGUCCAGUAACACAUGCGACACUAGAUUGCAGUAAAAAGAAAUUUCUUCUUUGCUGAAGAAAUGUUAAUGUGGGCUGCCAAAUGGGAGAGAUUUUCCAUAGUUCACUGUUAGUGUAAGACCUCAGCUCUCACGGAUUAUGCUGUCUUCUAAUGAACAAUUCCUUAAUGAGAGCAGAGAAUCGGAGUUUCACAUUUGAUGA
Centrocercus urophasianus (Greater sage-grouse) is the source of this 3937-nucleotide long non-coding RNA. RefSeq lists it as uncharacterized. The transcript is spliced from 3 exons. The record is from RefSeq and is a predicted model, not a curated record. Lineage: Eukaryota; Metazoa; Chordata; Aves; Galliformes; Phasianidae.